Lolium perenne is the source of this 4419-nucleotide non-coding RNA. The record is from RefSeq and is a predicted model, not a curated record. NCBI's taxonomy places the organism in Eukaryota, Viridiplantae, Streptophyta, Magnoliopsida, Poales, Poaceae.
AGCGCUUUUUUUGCGUUCACAUGCCCGCGCCGAUGUCCCAGCGACGCGGUAUCUACGCGGCCUCCAACUGCGGCGCAAUCGCCGGCGCCGGUGCCGGUGCCGGUGCUUCAAACGCCGCUUCCCCUCCCCUUCCGACUUCGUUGGUGAACGGCGAUGCCACGCCUCACCGGAACCACCUCCAUGACUCGCCGCACCUGGAAAAGGAGUCCCGCGGUGCAAUUGCUGGCGUCGGCGCUUCACAUGCCGCCUUCCCUCGUCCUCCCAUUUUGCUGAUGAAAUGCGAUGCCACACCUCGCUCGAAGUACCUCUACGACUUGCCGCACCUGGACAAGGAGAUAGUCUAUGGAUGGUAUGCUGAGGCCUUGGUGAAAUCUCUCAACCUCUUGAAAGUCGACUCCCACCCAGAGGUUCAGCAGCAAGUCGACUCCCACCCUGAGGAUACUACUGGAGCAAAUGGCCCUCCCCUCCUUGAAUACCAUAUUAUUCUCUCUCGACUUUUCACAUCUGCAGUGUCUGUUCCAAGGAUGCAGAAAUAUCCAGAAGUUCUUUGCUAUAUACUUGAUUGUUUGUCGAACAUAUGGACUCAAUCAGAAUGGAAGGCCAACUUGAUCAAUGCGUUCUGCGAUUGUCGGUUCAGAACAUCUUUCCUUAAUGUCUUUGUAUUCUUUGAGAAAGAGCUUGAAUUGUGUCUUAAGGGAAACUCUAGUGAAAUAAACCAAGAAAGCAGUAUAAGUUAUGCAACUUUGACUAACUUGUUGCGGUUGAUACUGCCCACUUUCUUAACGCUGCUUCAGUAUAUGCAAGCUCUCUGGACAAAAGCAGUCGCUUCUAAUAUACCGGAUGUACUCGAAGGUGCUAAAAGUAUGGUGUUCUCCGAAGGGCCAGGGGAGACUCUAAAAGUGCAAAACAUAGACAAGGAAGAACAGGAACAGAAUGCAAUAAGAAAUUGGUUAGAAACAACUCGCCAAAUUGGGUACAAUGUGAUUGGCAUGUGUGCACAACUUGAGGGAGUGUUUGAUCUGAUUUUAGAUAGUUCAGCUGUAUGUGGCAGCCUGAUGAAAGAUAUAAGUUCGAUGGGAUUUCAUCAUCUGACUUUACUCAUCCAGUCUACCAUUAUUCCACUGGUGAAAAAUUGUCCUAAAGAAUGUUGGGAAGAAUGGGUUGUUGAGCUUCUGUAUCCGGUGUUUGACUAUUUCCAUAACACACUUUAUGAGUCAUGGUGUGAUUUUUUGCAUGAGGGUUUAGUGCAAGUACCUGAUACCAUUGUUUAUGUUUUUGCAUCGGAAGACAAGGCCGAUGGCAAAACGGUUGGGGGCCUCCCCCACUGUUCCCAGUCAAAAAAAAAUAUAGAGAAGGAUCUUCUUAUCCAGUUGACCCAUGCAGCGUCGGAUUUGCUUGCUGUAAUAGCAUCCCCAGAAUUAAAUGGUGGGCUAGGCCUUACUACAUGUACACAGUUGGAUUAUAUUUGUUCAAGCUCCCUGGUUGGGUAUGUCCUACAUCAUGAUGGCCUUAGACUUCUGGUCUUAAGUUUAAUCUAUUACAUAUUUGGAGCAUGGAAGGAUGACAAAGCAAUAAUUACAUCAGUGCCAUUUUGUUGUCAAAUUGUACAAAUUGCUAAAGCUACACGUCAUGAGGAACUAAUAUCUUUUGUUAAAGAUGAUAUGAUUUCUCAUGUCAUUUGGUGUUUAACUCUUGAGUCAAGUUUGAACAGUACUAUACUUACUGAUCUUUGUCGAGACGCAUAUAAGUGUGUUCAAAAUCAGGAUUUAGUGUGCGGAGGAAAAUACAAUGGAAGCAGUGAAGAAAGCACUGAAGAAACCGCUGAAAAAAAAGUUGAAGAAAUCUUUCAAAGUUGGUUGUCCAGGCAAAUAUUUGAUGUCCGUUGUAGAAACACACCAUUUGAUAAUCAGGAUGAAUUUGUGCCAACAUGGGGGGAUGAAGACGAAUUUAGGGCUUAUAUUCCAGCUUAUAUCGACAUGUUGCAUCAAGUGGAUGAAAUGGAUGACUGCUUGAAGUGGGGUUAUUGUUCUCCGAGGGCUUUCUUUAAGAAAUUAAAGCCUGACUUUGCAUCGAGAUAUGAUAUUGAUAGCGAAUUUCAUGAUUAUGUCUCGACCAUGUCAGCAAUAUUCUCGCGCAAAAUUUCUGUAAAGCGUUGGCAGAGUCAGAAUGAUCAAAUGUACAAGUUCUUUUGUGAACUCAUUAGUUUGAAACCUUAUAUUCAGCAGCAUUCUAGUUAUGAUGAGAGUGUGCUGGAACUUGUGAAAAAUUUGGAGGUGUGUCCUGGUCUUGUUGAAUUUCUUAGGGUAUCUGCACUUGAGAAAUUCUGUGCAAUAUUAUCUUUGUGGGAGCCUCAGUUCCAUCCUAUGAUACGGGAGGGUCACAAGGAGGUGCUCAGAGAAAUAGUUCUUCACUUGACUCGUGUAGAAACAUUAACUUUUCUGCAGCCAUUGCAACCAGAUUUAAGUGAUUUUCCGGUGCAUCUGCGACGUUACGCAAUGAAUUAUAUUGAAGAUGAAAAUAAAAAGUAUCAUAUGGCAAAAGAACAAGCAAGAUUGCAUGAAAAGUUCGAUGAACUUGUGGCUUCAUCUGCAUUAGAUCAUUACAUCUGCAAGGUUAGUUCUUCAAUGGAUGAUGCACUAGAGGCUGUUCUUAAUGAUGAUCGUGUACACAGUCAGUUCUCAGUUCUGGAUCAUGAUCUCAUUAAGUUGUCUAUUAAGCGAAGAGCCAAACUUCUGGGUAGGAAGGAACAAUUAUUUUCAUAUUCCAAACAUUUGAGACAUGUUGUUGGCAGUGAUCAGCUGAAUAUUGGACUUCAAAGUUUGAUGAGUGAGUUGGAGGCCAAAGAUUUUUUCAACAUCACUGAUGAUUCUAUCGAUUGGGAUAAGAAAUGUUUUUCAGAACUUGUGGACAAAUUCAACAUGCAAGUUUUUGCUGGGCUCCAUCUUCCAGAUUAUGAUGUUAUUCGUGGAAUUAUGGAUUAUCGGGCAAUGUCAGCUAUGAAGGAUGCCUCAUGUUCAUGGGACCAUGUUUUUGAAAAGGUUGUUGGCGCACCAUAUCGUAGGUGGAUACAAAACACUCCUAUGUUUUGGAUGGACACAAGAUACUAUGAGCACCAGUACUAUGACAUCAUUCAACAACCAUUGAAAAAGGUUGCGUGUCUCUCUAGCUGGGUUUGGGCCUAUCCUCAUGCUUAUGGUGGACAACUGGACAUCUUAUAUUACGUUGACCAUUGCUGAUGCUUAUUAGAGGCACAAUGACGCAUAUGGCAGAUGUGCAAGUGCUUGAUAGGUGACGUCUCAGUGAGGUUAGAUGUCAAUGACUGUCCAGAUCAGCAAAAUAUGAGCGCAAUGGCAGCUGGACUGAGAAGCGGUGAGUGCCGAGAAUAUGGCAUUAGGAUUGAAUAUGGACAAAAAGAAGAUUCUCAACUGGAGCAUAGGUGCAAGUUGCGUGACCACCCGUGCCAUUUACUCUACGGGAAUACUUGCCACUGAACCCCCAGCUUGAGUGAUGGUUUCAUCUGACGUAGUAGUGAGUUGAGUUGGAACAAUUGUGUUUACUCUUUUUUUUUUUUGAGAUGGAACACUGACAUUCCAUUAACCUUGGUCGGCAGAAUUGCUGUACAUGGCCCUAGUUACAUACAUAGGUAAAGCAUCUAAGCACACACGGUGUAAACCUAUUGGUUCAGGUGCACCCAUUACGCCAGCGGAUGAGCUGGCAUAUUACGAUCACGCUUUUCAUAAACAAUCCGAGCCUCAAUAAAGUUCAUGCGCAUACGAAUUUGAAGUUCUCUGAAAAGGGCUCCCAGUGGCGCUGCAUCAUAAUCUGUUAAUAUGAUUUCAUUUGCAAGACUUGGCAGUCUGGUGAAAAGUUCUGCAAUCAGCAUGGACUGGAGGAGAGCUUCAGAUUCUGUGGCAAUGGCCUUACCUGCAUUUGCGAUAGCUCCUGCGCCGGUGAAAACAAGCUUGCUUUCAUGAUCCUAAGCAAGGCAACCCCAUCCACCCCUCUCCACAGUGGGAUGAAAUGCACCGUCAAGAUUUAUCUUGGUCCAUUCCUCGGCUGGAGGGUUCCAUUUCCCAACUCGUUUAUCAGUCGUUGGUUUCUUUAGGAAUUUUGCCCAUUCCCCUGUAUGCCUACCGACUAUGAACGCGAGUUCCUCGGGUGUUAGUUGUUGUUCCCCAUGGUUUGCCUUAUUCCUCUCCGUCCACCAACAGGUGGCCUCCAUCUUCGAACAUAGUGUGGCACAUAGGGCACCUCGUGUCCAGUUACAUCCUCUUUUGCUGAAUGUUCACUCGUGUAGGAAGAAGGAAAUGGUGAACUUUGGCCGGACAUUCCAGGCUCCACAACCGAUCCUAGACACUUCUUCUCCAACUGCUUCCUUGGACACCUUCUGACGAACCAGCUUGCCACUUUGCAUUACUG